RNAcentral lists this long non-coding RNA (550 nucleotides) under Mytilus galloprovincialis (Mediterranean mussel). Lineage: Eukaryota; Metazoa; Mollusca; Bivalvia; Mytilida; Mytilidae. The record is from RNAcentral.
GGUUUUCGCACCAUAACUUUAGUAUAAGUAAAUAGAAAUCUUUGAAAUUUAAACACAAGGUUUAUGACCAUAAAAGGAAGGUUGGGUUUGAUUUUGGGAGUUUUGGUCCCAACAGGUUUUUAGGAAUAAGGGGCCCAAAGGGUCCAAAAUUGAACUUUGUUUGAUUUCAUCAAAAAUUGAAUAAUUGGGGUUCUUUGAUAUGCCGGAUCUAACUGUGUAUGUAGAUUCUUAAUUUUUGGUCCCGUUUUCAAAUUGGUCUACAUUAAGGUCCAAAGGGUCCAAAAUUAAACUUAGUUUGAUUUUAACAAAAAUUGAAUCCAUGGGAUUCUUUGAUAUACUGAAUCUAAAAAUGUACUUAGAUUUUUGAUUAUUGGCCCAGUUUUCAAGUUGGUCCAAAUCGGGGUCCAAAAUUAAACUUUGUUUGAUUUCAUCAAAAAUUGAAUAAUUGGGGUUCUUUGAUAUGCCAAAUCUAACUGUGUAUGUAGAUUCUUAAUUUUUAGUCCCGUUUUCAAAUUGGUCUACAUUAAAUACCAAAGGGUCCAAAAUUAAA